UACGAAGGGGGCUAGCGUUGCUCGGAAUGACUGGGCGUAAAGGGCGCGUAGGCGGUUUGCACAGUCAGAUGUGAAAUUCCUGGGCUCAACCUGGGGGCUGCAUUUGAUACGUGCGGACUAGAGUGGGGAAGAGGGUCGUGGAAUUCCCAGUGUAGAGGUGAAAUUCGUAGAUAUUGGGAAGAACACCGGUGGCGAAGGCGGCGACCUGGUCCUUGACUGACGCUGAGGCGCGAAAGCGUGGGGAGCGAACAGG
RNAcentral lists this ribosomal RNA (253 nucleotides) under uncultured bacterium. RNAcentral describes it as "partial 16S ribosomal RNA". It matches the Rfam family "Bacterial small subunit ribosomal RNA", at positions 524 to 776 of the family's 1533-position model. The record is from RNAcentral.